RNAcentral lists this long non-coding RNA (1076 nucleotides) under Triticum aestivum (bread wheat). RNAcentral's name for it is "long non-coding RNA (TAES_LNC007335)". Lineage: Eukaryota; Viridiplantae; Streptophyta; Magnoliopsida; Poales; Poaceae. The record is from RNAcentral.
GUCAGUACAUGUAGUACCUAGCUCAAGAAAAGGUAUUGUCCUGUAGCUUUGGUCUUACCUAGUAUGGAUAACAUUUUUAUGGAAAACUUGCUAUUUCCCUGGUGCGCUAACAUGAUGUGUUGGAAUAUCAGGCAGCGGCCUGCUUUGGCCAUGCCGCACCACCACUGGCACGUCCACCAUGGUUGCUGGCAGCCGUCCAAGUUGAGCGCUGAUGGGAGUCCUUAGCAUGCUUCAACGACACUCUCUCAUAUCAAUCUCUCUCUUUCUUUGCUCCUGCUAUUAAAAUGUGUAGAUGUGCUGCUUUGCUAAUUGAGUAGUUGGGAAGAUGUGAAAAGAACAUGCUCUCUAGGUGUGUGAUUAUUCCUAUGAGCACAAAUGUAUUUAAAUGUUUAUUUUGUGCUUCAGCUUAUGCUUUUGGGCAAUACAAAUACAUCUUCAAAAAUAAGUACAUAUGCGGUCUUAUAGAACUCUAAUUGUUGUUGGAUGCUAUUCCAAAUGCCAAUGAUCAUGCAAAACGGUUAUUGCUAGAAUCUAGAUGAUAUGUAAUGUAGUUAUCAUAAUUUCACCCUAUUUUAUGGUUCUAAUUAUUGUUGCAUAAGUCUUUAAAAGAAAUGUUCGCUAAAUGUUUGUGAUCAUUGCUUGUAGGUAUUUGUAUGAACAUUAAAAUAAUGGCUUUUCUUGUAGGAGGUUCAAAGAUUGUUGUGGAGCAAGUUCAAGAGAUCAGUUUGGUGAAAAUAAUGUGAUCUUUUGGUCAGGAUUUUGCAUGAUCCAUAGCCAUCAGGCAAGCAGUCCAAGGCCUACUACACGAGUCGUCCAUCGUCUUCUACGCAUGAUGAGCUUGUUGUCUCUACACAUCUAGCAUCGGAGUAUCUCCUCCCCUUGCCGCACACACAUGCCCGCGGUCGAGCUAGUGUUGUUUGUGAUUGCUGGUCGUGACUCUUACGUUGUCAUUGGACAAAUAAUUUGUUUUGUAACUCUGUACUGAUGGGACCUUCAGCAUAUAUGGUGUUUAGAAUUUGUUUGUAACUCUGUACUGUCGGGACCUUCAGCAUAUAUGGUGAUCUCAGUAUUCUAAU